Long non-coding RNA from Sycon ciliatum, 571 nucleotides. RefSeq lists it as uncharacterized. The record is from RefSeq and is a predicted model, not a curated record. The transcript has 3 exons. NCBI's taxonomy places the organism in Eukaryota, Metazoa, Porifera, Calcarea, Leucosolenida, Sycettidae.
UUCUUCUUUGCUGUUUUCAGUGAGUGUUUUGUUUUCUCUUUGUCCUUGAUCUCGACGAUGUUGUCGUGCUCAUUACCUUACUGAGACGUCUCUUGUGACUGUAGCCAGUGUCACGGAGGUUUUUAUUGGCGUGACAAGGUAGAUCGCCGAGAUCGAGCGUGAAAAACGCCCUGCAUUAGUAGCUCCUGUGGAAUGUUUUCUGAGUUGGCGUAUCCAUGGUCAACAAAACAAAGGUGCAAGACAGCAUGAGAGAUCGUGUAAACGAUGUGAACUCCAAAAGAUAAUCUGGCCAAAUUUAUUGUAACUCAGAGAGAGUGCAAUCGUGCUUGGGGCCCAUCCCAAUGUCAUCACAUGGCUGUGGUGACUAGUGUAUAUCUGGGAGAAUUUUUCCUCGACUGAUACGGAGUGCAGGUGGAUCGAUUAUGAGAAAUGCGAACAUGUGAAGUUCAAGGCUAGAUGCACUUCACAUUCGGCGUGCGAUCUCAGCGUCUGGGACCUGAUGAAGUCUUGGUUGGAUGAUUAUUCAAGCCUGAUACUACUCGACACACCAAUGUUCAUGUCAAUGUAAUUU